UUUUUAAUAUCUAUUCUUUCAUUCUUUUCCAUUAUUCCAAAGUUUUUCUAAUAUACGUCUAGCAAACUGAACCUGUUAUUUACAUAAAUCUAACUCAAUCUAACUUCCAAUAUUUCAAGAUAUCUCUUACGGCUAUUAUUACUCUUGUCUAGACAUAACCUAAAACCUUUCAAAUAUUGACAUAAUUUACAGUCACUAUCUAAAACCAAUAGACAUUUCCAACUUUGACUUUGAGCAAAACGCAAAUUGCCUUCACUUUGAACUUCGUCUAUGUGUACAUACACCGUAUCUUCUCUGCGCAAUCAAAAGAA
Long non-coding RNA from Apis dorsata (giant honeybee), 311 nucleotides. RefSeq lists it as uncharacterized. The transcript has 3 exons. The record is from RefSeq and is a predicted model, not a curated record. Lineage: Eukaryota; Metazoa; Arthropoda; Insecta; Hymenoptera; Apidae.